UACGUAGGGUGCAAGCGUUGUCCGGAAUUAUUGGGCGUAAAGAGCUCGUAGGCGGUUAGUCGCGUCUGCUGUGAAAACUCGGGGCUUAACUCCGGGCCUGCAGUGGGUACGGGCUGACUAGAGUGCGGUAGGGGAGACUGGAAUUCCUGGUGUAGCGGUGAAAUGCGCAGAUAUCAGGAGGAACACCGGUGGCGAAGGCGGGUCUCUGGACAGUUCCUGACGCUGAGGCACGAAGGUCAGGGGAGCAAACGGG
RNAcentral lists this ribosomal RNA (253 nucleotides) under uncultured bacterium. Its description in RNAcentral is "partial 16S ribosomal RNA". It matches the Rfam family "Bacterial small subunit ribosomal RNA", at positions 524 to 776 of the family's 1533-position model. The record is from RNAcentral.